This 167-nucleotide long non-coding RNA is filed under the name Mustela putorius furo (domestic ferret). RNAcentral's name for it is "lncRNA (ENSMPUG00000031937.1)". Lineage: Eukaryota; Metazoa; Chordata; Mammalia; Carnivora; Mustelidae. The record is from RNAcentral.
CUUGCGCUGGGAGAAAACGGGAAACGCCCCACCGUAAAGACAACAUUUUCGAGUUCACUGAAAGACCUUAGUGCUGAGUCACCUACAACUGGCCAUUGCCCUCACCCUUGAAUGAAUUUCAAAACAUGACACUGACGGGAGGCUAACUUUCCAAGUUCAAGCCCCAG